GAGGACUUAGCUUAAUUAAAGUGGCUGAUUUGCGUUCAGUUGAUGUAAGAUGAAAUCUUGCAGUCUUUA
RNAcentral lists this transfer RNA (69 nucleotides) under Nanger granti (Grant's gazelle). RNAcentral's name for it is "tRNA-Ala". It matches the Rfam family "tRNA". From Rfam's summary of the family: Transfer RNA (tRNA) molecules are approximately 80 nucleotides in length. The record is from RNAcentral. Lineage: Eukaryota; Metazoa; Chordata; Mammalia; Artiodactyla; Bovidae.